Molecule: long non-coding RNA, 588 nt
Organism: Homo sapiens (human)
Lineage: Eukaryota; Metazoa; Chordata; Mammalia; Primates; Hominidae
Exons: 3
Source: RefSeq, a predicted model, not a curated record
CACCAAGGCAGGCAUCGUCAUUCUGCAUAUGCAGGCCUUGACUGGCAGCAGAGCUCACUGUCCUGAUGGGUACGUCAGUAGCACACAGAAGGAUGAAGGGCCGAAUCAGCUCUGGGUUCAACAGCGACUCCUCAAGAGGCCGGUCCACGUGGAAGUCAUGGAUGUGGGGGGGCCCUGGAUGGGCCUUGGGGGCAGGUCCCCCUAGACGCUGAGGAAUCGGCAGCUCAGAUGGAUGGGCAGGCAGGGGAGCUGUGAAGAAGUACUGAUGGAGGAGAGCCUGAGGGUGGCAAGCCUCUGCCCACCAUUUCUCUCUUCAGCGAACACCUCCUCAAACAUCUCAUGCUUAAACCUGCCCUCCACCAGGAAGCUUUGCUUGACCCCAAAGUCGGCCUUGCCUCUCUCCUGGGGCUCCCACAGCUGGAGAACAUGACCUCUUGUGACCUUUUGGACCUGGAGCUACCUCACCACCAGGAGUGCCCCGCGGAGGUAGGACUGAUUGUUUACCAUCUGUGCAGGGCCCAGGACAAUCCCUGCAUGUGCCAGAUGUGCAGAAAAUACUUGCUAAUGGAAUAAAGGAAUGAGUCCCCA